This is a non-coding RNA of Cucurbita pepo subsp. pepo (vegetable marrow), 473 nucleotides long. Lineage: Eukaryota; Viridiplantae; Streptophyta; Magnoliopsida; Cucurbitales; Cucurbitaceae. The record is from RefSeq and is a predicted model, not a curated record.
UACAAAAUCUUCUCACAUAUCUUCAUAAAAGAAAGAUAUCGACUGUAAGCGAAAGAAAAUAUUACAUGAUCAAAGAUUCAAAGCACCCACCUGUUAGCAUUCCCCAUGAGCUACAAUCCAAGGUCAAAUUAUACCAGAUGUUCAUAUGAGAGCUCUCAAGGGGGUGUACCUUCUCGAUCGCCGAUUAACCAGUAGAAUGCUGGCCAUAGCACCAUGGCCCUCCUCUCCUGCCGACUUGACUGCCGGCGAGAAGCCAUAAAUGCCGACGGCCCAAAGUUCCAUGGUAAUAAGUAAAUUUGCAGGAAUUGAAAGUUCCUUUUCUUCCCUUUCUUCACUUCCAUUUUCAUUGUCUUGUACCAUUACUGAAAAUCAUUUGAUAAUUGAGAUGGAAGAAAAUGAAAUAUUGUGAAUAAAACCCCACCCAUUUCGUCGAUGACCCCAAAUUGGGAUUCUGAAAUUUCUGAUUUUACUAA